CUCAGCAUCCAGAGACAGCAUAAAAAAAUCCCAGGGAAGAUGGAGGGCGAUACAGCUGUGCUACAGAAGCAUAAAAUACAGUGGAAGACAAAGGACAUCCUGAUACUAAAAUCAUUACCUGGAAGGACUAGGAUCGCUGCAAGAACAUUCCAGGACUGGGAUGAGUGUGGGACAAGGAAAAGACAAGUUUCCUCUAGGAAAAAAGCAUAAUGUCUCAAGAGGGAAUUCUGCAUAACCUGACAGCCUGAAACUCCAGAAUCAGGGGAAAGGCCAGAGGAGAACCUGGGUGACAGCUGCACAGGGGACAGAAGAUCGUGGUGCUGAGAAGCUGUUUGCUAACUCACCAGGGAAGAACGUGGCAUGACCUCCCAUCAGAAAAGGGAGGAGAAUAAAAAUAGUUCAUUACAGCAUGGGUUGGCCAGCAUGUCCUAAUGGCCAGUAGCUUCUGCCUGUAGGAAUGUGAUGUCAAGUUGUUUCCAAGGAAAAUAAAACUGUUAUUAAAAGGGACUUCAUCCAAAAGAACUUUAUCCAAAAGUAUUCUAAAGUGGUUUUAGAGGUGGAAUAGUUUCAGCUCUUGUGAUUUCCUAAAAACACGUCCUUUAUAGGAAAAAAAAGUAAUAAGCUUGGCUUUUUUUUUUUUUUUUUCUAGAGAGCACAGUUGCCAAGAACACAAGCUAAGUUUCAGAUUUGCUGGAGAGCAGGAGCUGAGGAUGAGAUAAUUUUAGGCUUAACGUUACAACUAGGCAAGACAUAUAUUGCUUUCAUUUUACUGAACAAAGUUAGCUCCUACCUGUAUUCAGAGCUGACUGCUGACAGUUCAAAUUAAAUGUAUGCAGUCAUCACAAUUGUUUGGCAUUUAUUUUAUGCUAGCGAAUGGCUAAUCACUGAAAAGUGAUGGGUGACAGGACAUGCAGCUGAUCACUGUCACAUCUAUCAGAGAGAAAGGAGAGGUUUGGGUCUGAAAUGCUCCCCUCAGAUGAGAAGGAACAAGAUUCCUUCCUUACAGGAAGGCCCAGCUUAGGACAGAAAAAUAAACUUCUACAUAAUACAGGCAGGAAGGUAUGGGGGAGACAAAGUGAAUGUAGGGCUAAAUAGUCCAUAAAUUCUUCAUGUAAGAUAU
Chroicocephalus ridibundus (black-headed gull) is the source of this 1120-nucleotide long non-coding RNA. RefSeq lists it as uncharacterized. The record is from RefSeq and is a predicted model, not a curated record. The transcript is spliced from 3 exons. Lineage: Eukaryota; Metazoa; Chordata; Aves; Charadriiformes; Laridae.